RNAcentral lists this ribosomal RNA (879 nucleotides) under Ramularia rubella. RNAcentral describes it as "eukaryotic LSU rRNA". It matches the Rfam family "Eukaryotic large subunit ribosomal RNA", at positions 33 to 943 of the family's 3401-position model. The record is from RNAcentral. Lineage: Eukaryota; Fungi; Ascomycota; Dothideomycetes; Mycosphaerellales; Mycosphaerellaceae.
CUUAAGCAUAUCAAUAAGCGGAGGAAAAGAAACCAACAGGGAUUGCCCUAGUAACGGCGAGUGAAGCGGCAACAGCUCAAAUUUGAAAUCUGGCGCAAGCCCGAGUUGUAAUUUGUAGAGGAUGCUUCUAGGUAGCGACCGGUCUAAGUUCCUUGGAACAGGACGUCAUAGAGGGUGAGAAUCCCGUAUGUGACCGGCCCGCGCCUUCCACGUAGCUCCUUCGACGAGUCGAGUUGUUUGGGAAUGCAGCUCUAAAUGGGAGGUAAAUUUCUUCUAAAGCUAAAUACCGGCCAGAGACCGAUAGCGCACAAGUAGAGUGAUCGAAAGAUGAAAAGCACUUUGGAAAGAGAGUUAAAAAGCACGUGAAAUUGUUGAAAGGGAAGCGCUCACAACCAGACUUCUGGGCGGUGUUCCGCCGGUCUUCUGACCGGUCUACUCGCCGUCCCGAGGCCAACAUCAUCUGGGACCGCCGGAUAAGACCUCAGGAAUGUGGCUCCCCUCGGGGAGUGUUAUAGCCUGUGGUGAUGCGGCGCGUCUCGGGUGAGGUCCGCGCUUCGGCAAGGAUGUUGGCGUAAUGGUUGUCAGCGGCCCGUCUUGAAACACGGACCAAGGAGUCUAACAUCUAUGCGAGUGUUCGGGUGUCAAACCCCUACGCGUAAUGAAAGUGAACGGAGGUGGGAAGGGUAACCUGCACCAUCGACCGAUCCUGAUGUCCUCGGAUGGAUUUGAGUAAGAGCAUAGCUGUUGGGACCCGAAAGAUGGUGAACUAUGCCUGAAUAGGGUGAAGCCAGAGGAAACUCUGGUGGAGGCUCGCAGCGGUUCUGACGUGCAAAUCGAUCGUCAAAUUUGGGUAUAGGGGCGAAAGACUAAUCGAACCAU